Molecule: ribosomal RNA, 201 nt
Filed under: uncultured bacterium
Lineage: Bacteria
Description: partial 16S ribosomal RNA
Rfam family: Bacterial small subunit ribosomal RNA
Source: RNAcentral
UACGGGGGGUGCGAGCGUUGUCCGGAAUCACUGGCGUAAAGGGCGCGUAGGUGGUCUGAUAAGGGUGUGGUGAAAGUCCGGGGCUCAACCCUGGAUCCUGCCGUGCCGACUGUCAGACUCGAGGACUGUAGAGGCAGGCGGAAUCCGGGUGUAGCGGUGGAAUGCGUAGAGAUCCGGAGGAAGACCGGUGGCGAAGGCGGC